Non-coding RNA from Oryzias melastigma (Indian medaka), 436 nucleotides. NCBI's taxonomy places the organism in Eukaryota, Metazoa, Chordata, Actinopteri, Beloniformes, Adrianichthyidae. The record is from the annotation of a RefSeq genome assembly.
GUGAUGCCCCGCCCUCCCUGACCGUGCUCCUCCCCUCCACCAAGGAGCUGCAGCAGGGGAAGGCCACACUCAUGUGUGUGGCCAACAAGGGCUUCCCCUCAGACUGGACUCUGUCCUGGAAGGUGGUCGGCAGCAGCAGCAGCAACUGGGAGGAGAGCAGGAGCCCCGGGGUGCUGCAGAAGGACGGCCUCUACAGCUGGAGCAGCACCCUGAGGCUCUCUGCAGACCAGUGGGAGAAGGUGACCUGUGAGGCCAAGAGAGGAUCCCAGACUGCAGUCUCAGAGACUCUCAGGAGAGACCAGUGCUCCCAGUCCUGAACGCAAGCAUUCACAUAACUGUUCUCUUUAAUUGCUUCUUUCAAAUUUUUAUUCAAUUGACAAAAUCUUCCUUUUCAUUGUUGCAUUUUUAAAGGCUGAAAUAAACACUUGUCAUCUUU